UAGGGAAUCUUCCACAAUGGACGCAAGUCUGAUGGAGCAACGCCGCGUGAGUGAAGAAGGUUUUCGGAUCGUAAAGCUCUGUUGUUGGUGAAGAAGGAUAGAGGCAGUAACUGGUCUUUAUUUGACGGUAAUCAACCAGAAAGUCACGGCUAACUACGUGCCAGCAGCCGCGGUAAUACGUAGGUGGCAAGCGUUGUCCGGAUUUAUUGGGCGUAAAGCGAGCGCAGGCGGAAUGAUAAGUCUGAUGUGAAAGCCCACGGCUCAACCGUGGAACUGCAUCGGAAACUGUCAUUCUUGAGUGCAGAAGAGGAGAGUGGAACUCCAUGUGUAGCGGUGGAAUGCGUAGAUAUAUGGAAGAACACCAGUGGCGAAGGCGGCUCUCUGGUCUGCAACUGACGCUGAGGCUCGAAAGCAUGGGUAGCGAACAGGAUUAGAUACCCUGGUAGUC
This 448-nucleotide ribosomal RNA is filed under the name uncultured bacterium. RNAcentral describes it as "partial 16S ribosomal RNA". It matches the Rfam family "Bacterial small subunit ribosomal RNA", at positions 355 to 795 of the family's 1533-position model. The record is from RNAcentral.